This 673-nucleotide unclassified non-coding RNA is filed under the name Hevea brasiliensis (rubber tree). The record is from RNAcentral. Lineage: Eukaryota; Viridiplantae; Streptophyta; Magnoliopsida; Malpighiales; Euphorbiaceae.
GUUUGAUUUUCUCCUUCCUUUAUAUAACUCCAAUCUCAUUAUUCAAGCUUGUCUCAAUUCCUAAAUGGGUUUAAUGAAUUUUUUGAAGUUGGUACUGGUUUUCCAUCUUGAGGUUAAGAGUCCUUACAAAUUUUUGUAUAUUUCCGGUAAAAUUGAAGUUUUUUCAUGGGUUAACAUGAACAUCUGAUCUGGUAACUUAGGUUUGGCUUGAAGUUCAUGGUUGUUGUUUGUCGAUUAGGUAUCAAUGAUGUUUUCUUCUCUGGACAACUUUUAUUUUGAUAGUUUGAGAGUUUGACGUUGUGGUUGAGGAUUAAUUUUAAGGUGGCCUCUUCUUUUUCGGUUUGAAGUUCAUGACGGUUGUUUGUCGACUAGGUGUAUGAUUUUGUGCAACUUUUUAUUUUGAUCCUUGAGUUUGAAGUUCUGGUUGAGGAUUAGUUUUAAGGUGGUCUUGGUGCCAUUUGAGCGGAUGCAUUAUCUGUGAGUGUUUGGUUGGACAAAUUAUGAGAAUGCUGAAUAAUAUAGUAAUGGAGUUGAAUCUGAUUAAACAUGUGAAAUAAGUGAAAAUAAUCCAUUUCCAUUUGGUUUUUGGUAAAGAAAGAAAUGUAAAUAAUUAAGGAGACAUCCAUUCAUAAUUUCAUAAGCAGAUAUCUAUAGGCUGAUCUCAUAACUUGCA